AGUCACUGACAUUAGAUACCCCCGUAGUCCAGGGUGUAAACGCUGCGGGCUUGGUGUUGGGGGGUCCUUUGAGGGCGCCCAGUGCCGGAGAGAAGUUGUUAAGCCUGCUGCUUGGGGAGUACGUCCGCAAGGAUGAAACUUAAAGGAAUUGGCGGGGGAGCACAACAACGGGUGGAGCUUGCGGUUUAAUUGGAUUCAACGCCGGAAAUCUUACCGGGACCGACAGCAACAUGAAGGCCAAGCUGAAGACUUUGCCGGAUUAGCUG
Molecule: ribosomal RNA, 266 nt
Filed under: uncultured archaeon
Lineage: Archaea
Description: partial 16S ribosomal RNA
Rfam family: Archaeal small subunit ribosomal RNA
Source: RNAcentral